UGGUUUAAUUCGAUGCAACGCGAAGAACCUUACCUGGUCUUGACAUCCACGGAAGUUUUCAGAGAUGAGAAUGUGCCUUCGGGAACCGUGAGACAGGUGCUGCAUGGCUGUCGUCAGCUCGUGUUGUGAAAUGUUGGGUUAAGUCCCGCAACGAGCGCAACCCUUAUCCUUUGUUGCCAGCGGUCCGGCCGGGAACUCAAAGGAGACUGCCAGUGAUAAACUGGAGGAAGGUGGGGAUGACGUCAAGUCAUCAUGGCCCUUACGACCAGGGCUACACACGUGCUACAAUGGCGCAUACAAAGAGAAGCGACCUCGCGAGAGCAAGCGGACCUCAUAAAGUGCGUCGUAGUCCGGAUUGGAGUCUGCAACUCGACUCCAUGAAGUCGGAAUCGCUAGUAAUCGUGGAUCAGAAUGCCACGGUGAAUACGUUCCCGGGCCUUGUACACACCGCCCGUCACACCAUGGGAGUGGGUUGCAAAAGAAGUAGGUAGCUUAACCUUCGGGAGGGCGCUUACCACUUUGUGAUUCAUGACUGGGGUGAAGUCGUAACAAGGUAACCGUAGGGGAACCUGCGGUUGGAUCAC
RNAcentral lists this ribosomal RNA (584 nucleotides) under Escherichia coli. Its description in RNAcentral is "bacterial SSU rRNA". It matches the Rfam family "Bacterial small subunit ribosomal RNA", at positions 942 to 1526 of the family's 1533-position model. The record is from RNAcentral. Lineage: Bacteria; Pseudomonadati; Pseudomonadota; Gammaproteobacteria; Enterobacterales; Enterobacteriaceae. RNAcentral also lists the same sequence under 2 other names.